This 219-nucleotide unclassified non-coding RNA is filed under the name Ascomycota sp. RNAcentral describes it as "partial contains small subunit ribosomal RNA, internal transcribed spacer 1, and 5.8S ribosomal RNA". The stretch from base 1 to 47 matches the Rfam family "Eukaryotic small subunit ribosomal RNA", at positions 1785 to 1831 of the family's 1831-position model. The record is from RNAcentral. Lineage: Eukaryota; Fungi; Ascomycota.
AAAGUUGUAACAAGGUUUCUGUAGGUGAACCUGCGGAAGGAUCAUUACUGUGGAGCCCUCUGCCGGCUUUGUGGGAUAGAACCCUUGCCUUUUUCGAGUACUGCCUGUUUCCUUGGCAGGCCCGCCUGCCAACGGGGACAACUAAAACCCUUCUUUAUCUGUAACUGUCUGAACAAAAACAAACAAUUAAAACUUUCAACAACGGAUCUCUUGGUUCUG